This 562-nucleotide unclassified non-coding RNA is filed under the name uncultured Bartonella sp. Its description in RNAcentral is "partial 16S-23S ribosomal RNA intergenic spacer". The stretch from base 110 to 183 matches the Rfam family "tRNA". The record is from RNAcentral. Lineage: Bacteria; Pseudomonadati; Pseudomonadota; Alphaproteobacteria; Hyphomicrobiales; Bartonellaceae.
GCGAUCUAGACAAAACAAGUCCACCGUGGGCUUUGAAAAACGCUUUCCUUGAUAAAAUUUAAGCGUGUUAUAAGAGGAUGCCGGGGAAGGUUUUCCGGUUUAUCCCGGAGGGCUUGUAGCUCAGUUGGUUAGAGCGCGCGCUUGAUAAGCGUGAGGUCGGAGGUUCAAGUCCUCCCAGGCCCACCAGUUUAUCCAUUACUUUCAUAAGUGCUUUUAAAAAAUAAGUACUUCUAAAAAGAUUGCUUCUAAAAAGCUUAUCAAAAUUGGCAGGCUUAUUGCUUUUGUGUGAGUAAUCCAAAGUUAAAGCAAAUUAAUGGCAAAAAAACAGUUCAAAUGCUAAAUACUAAGGAGUCAAAAUUCCUUGCAAAGUGAUUUUUACAGCGUCCAUUUGGUUGAUAUAAAUUCCAAAUGCUCAUAGACGUCAAUGCCUAUAUGAAACUAUCGGUUCAAUCAUAUCGCUUUGAGUUAUAUAGAUUUUGUAAUCCCUCUUUUGAUCGUUUUAAACGCUUUAUUCUGAUUUAGGGGCCGUAGCUCAGCUGGGAGAGCACCUGCUUUGCAAGCA